RNAcentral lists this ribosomal RNA (771 nucleotides) under uncultured Neocallimastigales. Its description in RNAcentral is "partial large subunit ribosomal RNA". The stretch from base 4 to 662 matches the Rfam family "Eukaryotic large subunit ribosomal RNA", at positions 24 to 664 of the family's 3401-position model. The record is from RNAcentral. Lineage: Eukaryota; Fungi; Neocallimastigomycota; Neocallimastigomycetes; Neocallimastigales.
GUACACGCUGUGACUAGCAUAUCAAUAAGCGGAGGAAAAGAAACUAACAAGGAUUCCCUCAGUAACGGCGAGUGAAGCGGGAAGAGCUCAAAUUUGAAAUCUUGAAAGGUCACCUUUCACGAAUUGUAGUUUAAAGAAGUGUUUUCUGUUACGAUCGUAAUAUAAGUUCUUUGGAAUAGGACAUCACAGAGGGUGAGAAUCCCGUCUAUGAUUGCGAUUUGUAGCUUUGUGAUACACUUUCAAAGAGUCGGGUUGUUUGGGAAUGCAGCCCAAAACGGGAGGUAAAUUUCUUCUAAGGCUAAAUAUUGGCGAGAGACCGAUAGCGAACAAGUACCGUGAGGGAAAGAUGAAAAGAACUUUGAAAAGAGAGUUAAAUAGUACGUGAAAUUGUCAAAAGGGAAGCGUUUAACACCAGUGUUGUUUUCUGAAAAUCAACCUCUGUUAGCUUUAUGCAUGUUUGUUUAGACCUAAUCAGCUAUCUUGCAUGUUCUAUUGUUUGCAGUGGUGCACUUUUCAGUUUACAGGUCAACAUCAGUUUUUUUUACCGUAAAAAAGUUAAAGAAAGGUAGCUCAUGGCUCCGGUCGUGAGUGUUAUAGUCUUUUUCCUAUGCGGUAGGAGAGACUGAGGAUCUGCAGUGUAGGCUAUUUGGCUAGAUACUCAGGUGCUAUAUGAUACCAUUUCAUAAACAACUUGUUGAUUAUGUUUUGUCUAUUGCAUACUCGCUUGUACUAUCAUACCUACGCUUAGGAUGUUGAGUAGCGACAUACGCA